This 1358-nucleotide long non-coding RNA is filed under the name Carassius auratus (goldfish). RNAcentral describes it as "lncRNA (ENSCARG00000067656.1)". The record is from RNAcentral. Lineage: Eukaryota; Metazoa; Chordata; Actinopteri; Cypriniformes; Cyprinidae.
UGGAAAAUAAAGUUCUCUUGUGAAAAGAAGAAGAAGGGCACAAAAUAAUAUAAUUAUUAUAACACAAAACAAAAUAAUUAUCCUUUUUUUAGAUUUAGCUACUGCGAUCUGUGAAUGCGUCUUAGUGUUUGUGAUUGAUCGAGCGCACGCGCAUGCGCAUGCAGUGAGCCUCAGACACCGGUUGAUGAUCCGCUCUCGAGACUCAUUCAGUGUCUGCUAUCAAAGAACAAUAAAACGCACGUCUCAACCGUACACGUUACACACGUUUAUAAUCUUUUAUUAACACUAGUCCUCGUACUCCUCUUCCAGAAAGCGUCUGAUUACCGCGGAUCGGCGCUCAUCGGCAUCACCGGAGAACUCCUCCAGCUGGAGCCGGUGAAGAGAGCGAAGCCGCGUUCAUUCGUUCCCCGUCAGUCUGUUUCAGACCACCGGCGACAGCAUGAGCCAGAGGUUCACGGUGACCGCCGGUGACAUCCAGGGCGAAGUGAACCAGCUGUUCGAGGGCGACGAGGAGACGCCGAGCGCGUCCGACGCCACGGGAGCGGAGCGAUGCGGGAAAGGGCUGGUGUCAGUGGAGUGGAAGAGGCCGGUCUGGCGGUUCUGAACCCAACAGAGUGUAAAAGAACAGCAUGUUGUUUCUCCAAAUGGACAGAGAGAAUAGGCAGAGAAAAAGUCCAGGUACGAGGGAAGAGAACACAGAUAAGACACUGCAGCAGCACUUCAAUGAUUUCACAAACACUGUGCACAUACAUUCAAGUCCAUCACAAAUACAAAUAGGAUUAUUUAACGCAUGGAGUAAAUAAUGCAUGACAUGUUCAUAUUUAUGAAUGACAUGAUCAUUUGCAUUCACAAAAUGUGUUCUAGGUCGUUUUCAGGGUAUUCUAGAUGGUUGUUAGGGUUGUUUUCGGUGAAGAACAAAAGAAAAAUUUACUUGGACACCACAGCAAAAACUAGAAAUUGAACGAUAUAUAAAUAAACUAAAGAUCUGGCUGUCCUUGUUCCAUUUAAAACUGAAGGCAAUCACUGCAUUUUAAUCACAAUCCAAACAAAGAUGAUAAAUGCAUGUUAUUUAGCUUGUAAUUAGAUUGUAUAAUUUAGAAAUUUGAAGCAAAAAACAAAAUGGACUGACUUCAGCUUUGUGAAUUUCAUAUUGCUAUUCAAGAUAGCCCUUCAGGUAGUGUUUCCCACAAGCUCCAGGACGCCCGGGUUAGCGAUUAUAAGAGCACUGCUUAAUAUGUUGUAAAAUUGGACAUAAUGUUACACAGAAAAGUACAGUAAGCUAUUUUUCUAAACUUUUUAAAUAGUGAGUAUUUUCAUUUGCUGUUGUUGUUAUUAUUAUUAGGUUUUUUUUUAUCAUU